This 190-nucleotide ribosomal RNA is filed under the name Gallus gallus (chicken). Its description in RNAcentral is "partial ribosomal RNA". The record is from RNAcentral. Lineage: Eukaryota; Metazoa; Chordata; Aves; Galliformes; Phasianidae.
ACGGACCAAGGAGUCUAGCACGCGCGCGAGUCGGCGCUCGCGCGAAAGCCCGCGGCGCAAUGAAGGUGAGGGCCGGCGCGCGCCGGCUGAGGUGGGAUCCCGGGGCGGCAGGCCGGAAGGCCCCGGGCGCACCACCGGCCCGUCUCGCCCGCCUCGCCGGGGAGGUGGAGCAUGAGCGCGCGUGCUAGGA